Molecule: ribosomal RNA, 460 nt
Filed under: uncultured bacterium
Lineage: Bacteria
Description: partial 16S ribosomal RNA
Rfam family: Bacterial small subunit ribosomal RNA
Source: RNAcentral
CUACGGGACGCACCAGUAAGGAAUAUUGCGCAAUGGAGGCAACUCUGACGCAGCCAUGCCGCGUGCAGGACUGAAGGCCUUAUGGGUCGUAAACUGCUUUUAUUUAGGAAUAAACUCUUGUACGUGUACGAGACUGAAGGUACUAAAUGAAUAAGCACCGGCUAACUCCGUGCCAGCAGCCGCGGUAAUACGGAGGGUGCAAGCGUUAUCCGGAUUUAUUGGGUUUAAAGGGUGCGCAGGCGGACUAUUAAGUCAGAGGUGAAAUCCCGGAGCUCAACUUCGGAACUGCCUUUGAUACUGGUAGUCUUGAAUACGGUUGAAGUAGGCGGAGUGUAGCAUGUAGCGGUGAAAUGCAUAGAGAUGCUACAGAACACCGAUCGCGAAGGCAGCUUACUAAGCCGAUAUUGACGCUCAGGCACGAAAGCGUGGAGAGCGAACAGGAUUAGAUACCCGUGUAGUC